RNAcentral lists this ribosomal RNA (585 nucleotides) under uncultured bacterium. RNAcentral describes it as "partial 16S ribosomal RNA". It matches the Rfam family "Bacterial small subunit ribosomal RNA", at positions 355 to 1375 of the family's 1533-position model. The record is from RNAcentral.
UGGGGAAUUUUGGACAAUGGGCGAAAGCCUGAUCCAGCAAUGCCGCGUGUGUGAAGAAGGCCUUCGGGUUGUAAAGCACUUUUGUCCGGAAAGAAAUCCUUGGCUCUAAUACAGUCGGGGGAUGACGGUACCGGAAGAAUAAGCACCGGCUAACUACGUGCCAGCAGCCGCGGUAAUACGUAGGGUGCAAGCGUUAAUCGGAAUUACUGGGCGUAAAGCGUGCGCAGGCGGUUUGCUAAGACCGAUGUGAAAUCCCCGGGCUCAACCUGGGAACUGCAUUGGUGACUGGCAGGCUAGAGUAUGGCAGAGGGGGGUAGAAUUCCACGUGUAGCAGUGAAAUGCGUAGAGAUGUGGAGGAAUACCGAUGGCGAAGGCAGCCCCCUGGGCCAAUACUGACGCUCACGCACGAAAGCGUGGGAGCAAACAGGAUUAGAUACCCUGGUAGUCCACGCCCUAAACGAUGUCAACUAGUUGUUGGGGAUUCAUUUUCCUUAGUAACGUAGCUAACGCGUGAAGUUGACCGCCUGGGGAGUACGGUCGCAAGAUUAAAACUCAAAGGAAUUGACGGGGUCAUAGCUGUUUCCU